Molecule: signal recognition particle RNA, 98 nt
Filed under: Mollicutes bacterium PWAP
Lineage: Bacteria; Bacillati; Mycoplasmatota; Mollicutes
Description: signal recognition particle sRNA small type
Rfam family: Bacterial small signal recognition particle RNA
About the family: The signal recognition particle (SRP) is a universally conserved ribonucleoprotein involved in the co-translational targeting of proteins to membranes.
Source: RNAcentral
UAUUAAAGCCAAUUGAAUAAUAACCUUAUAACCUGGGUCAGGGCGGGAACGUAGCAGCCCAUAUAAGAAGUAUUGUGUUAAUUGGUUCUUUUUUUAUG